Non-coding RNA from Parelaphostrongylus tenuis, 75 nucleotides. The record is from the annotation of a GenBank genome assembly. NCBI's taxonomy places the organism in Eukaryota, Metazoa, Nematoda, Chromadorea, Rhabditida, Metastrongylidae.
GCGUCAGUAGCGCAACUGGUUGGAGCCCGCGCUUCCGGAUAGAGUGAGAUGUGGGUUCGAGUCCCGACUGAUGCG